Molecule: ribosomal RNA, 253 nt
Filed under: uncultured bacterium
Lineage: Bacteria
Description: partial 16S ribosomal RNA
Rfam family: Bacterial small subunit ribosomal RNA
Source: RNAcentral
UACGUAGGGCGCAAGCGUUAUCCGGAAUUAUUGGGCGUAAAGAGCUCGUAGGCGGUUUGUCGCGUCUGCCGUGAAAGUCCGGGGCUCAACUCCGGAUCUGCGGUGGGUACGGGCAGACUAGAGUGAUGUAGGGGAGACUGGAAUUCCUGGUGUAGCGGUGAAAUGCGCAGAUAUCAGGAGGAACACCGAUGGCGAAGGCAGGUCUCUGGGCUGUAACUGACGCUGAGGAGCGAACGCAUGGGGAGCGAACAGG